AUCCAGUUGACGACUCCUAAAUAGGAUGAAACGCUCGUCAUACUGGAU
This 48-nucleotide non-coding RNA is filed under the name Schistosoma mansoni. Lineage: Eukaryota; Metazoa; Platyhelminthes; Trematoda; Strigeidida; Schistosomatidae. The record is from RNAcentral.